RNAcentral lists this long non-coding RNA (689 nucleotides) under Ananas comosus (pineapple). RNAcentral's name for it is "long non-coding RNA (ACOM_LNC026459)". Lineage: Eukaryota; Viridiplantae; Streptophyta; Magnoliopsida; Poales; Bromeliaceae. The record is from RNAcentral.
AAAAGAUAUAUAUAUAGAUAUGUAUUCUUAUGAGUACUCAUAAAUCAUUUUUGGUGAUAAAAUAUUUGAAUCAAUAUUUCAUAUCGUUAAAUAUUAUUUAAAGUAUUUAAAAUUUCUAAAAUUCAAAUUUUAUAAUUUUUUGACAUUAUUUACCUUACAAUCAAAAAAUCUCAAAAUUAAUAAUUUUUAACGGUCGGUAUAUGAUGCUUGUAAGUUUAAUGGUGUAAAAGAAUCAAAAUAGGUUAAAUUUUUGAUAGAAAGUUCUAUACACUAUCUAGAUAAAGAUCAAUAACUCCGAUUUUACAUUGAAGGAUCCAAUCAUCUAUUUUUAGAACGUCGUUUUAUUUUAACCGUUUAUUUUAUACCCGUUUAAUGGAUUUUAUUAUGAUUUCGAAAAAUUACAAAAUUUACUUUUUAUAAGUUUCAAAUACUUUAGAUCAUAUUUAACGGAAUUGAUCAUUAAUUCGGAAGCCUCAUCAUUGAAAAUAACUUAUGAGUACGAAAGACUCUCUCAUAAAAAUAGUAAUUCUACUAUAUAUAGGGAGAGAGAGACAAAUAACUAAACAAUAAAUAGUUUAAAUGAAAUAAUUUAAGGGAGAGAGAGAGAGAGAGAGAUAACUAAACAAUAAAUAGUUUAAAUGAAAUAAUUAAAUAAUUUAAGGGAUUUGGUGGAAGAAGUGGGUAGUCAU